Molecule: ribosomal RNA, 794 nt
Filed under: uncultured Pelagibacteraceae bacterium
Lineage: Bacteria; Pseudomonadati; Pseudomonadota; Alphaproteobacteria; Candidatus Pelagibacterales; Candidatus Pelagibacteraceae
Description: bacterial SSU rRNA
Rfam family: Bacterial small subunit ribosomal RNA
Source: RNAcentral
CGCCUAACACAUGCAAGUCGAACGAAGUAGCAAUACUUAGUGGCAGACGGGUGAGUAACAUGUAGGUAUCUGCCCUUUGGCCUGGAAUAACACGAGGAAACUUGUGCUAAUACCGGAUAAGUCUUUACAGAGAAAGCUUUAUGCACCAUUGGAUGAGCCUGCACUUGAUUAGUUUGUUGGUAGGGUAAUGGCCUACCAAGACUGUGAUCAAUAGCUGAUUUGAGAGGAUGAUCAGCCACAUUGGGACUGAGACACGGCCCAAACUCCUACGGGAGGCAGCAGUGGGGAAUCUUGCACAAUGGAGGAAACUCUGAUGCAGCGAUGCCGCGUGAGUGAAGAAGGCCUUUGGGUUGUAAAGCUCUUUCGUCGGGGAAGAAAAUGACUGUACCCGAAUAAGAAGGUCCGGCUAACUUCGUGCCAGCAGCCGCGGUAAUACGAAGGGACCUAGCGUAGUUCGGAAUUACUGGGCUUAAAGAGUUCGUAGGUGGUUGAAAAAGUUGGUGGUGAAAUCCCAGAGCUUAACUCUGGAACUGCCAUCAAAACUUUUCAGCUAGAGUUUGAUAGAGGAAAGCAGAAUUUCUAGUGUAGAGGUGAAAUUCGUAGAUAUUAGAAAGAAUACCGAUUGCGAAGGCAGCUUUCUGGAUCAUUACUGACACUGAGGAACGAAAGCAUGGGUAGCGAAGAGGAUUAGAUACCCUCGUAGUCCAUGCCGUAAACGAUGUGUGUUAGACGUUGGAAAUUUAUUUUCAGUGUCGCAGCGAAAGCGAUAAACACACCGCCUGGGGAGUACGACC